AACGAACGCUGGCGGCAGGCCUAACACAUGCAAGUCGAACGCUCUAGCAAUAGAGAGUGGCAGACGGGUGAGUAACGCGUGGGAACCUUCCCAAUGGUGCGGAAUAGCUCAGGGAAACUUGAGGUAAUACCGCAUAAGCCCCUAGGGGGAAAGAUUUAUCGCCAUUGGAUGGGCCCGCGUCGGAUUAGCUAGUUGGUGAGGUAAUGGCUCACCAAGGCAACGAUCCGUAGCUGGUUUGAGAGAAUGACCAGCCACACUGGGACUGAGACACGGCCCAGACUCCUACGGGAGGCAGCAGUGGGGAAUCUUGGACAAUGGGCGCAAGCCUGAUCCAGCCAUGCCGCGUGAGUGACGAAGGCCUUAGGGUUGUAAAGCUCUUUUGCCGGGGACGAUAAUGACGGUACCCGGAGAGUAAGUCCCGGCUAACUUCGUGCCAGCAGCCGCGGUAAUACGAAGGGGACUAGCGUUGUUCGGAAUUACUGGGCGUAAAGCGCACGUAGGCGGAUUUGUAAGUCAGGGGUGAAAUCCCGGGGCUCAACCUCGGAACUGCCUUUGAUACUGCAAAUCUCGAGUCCGAUAGAGGUGGGUGGAAUUCCUAGUGUAGAGGUGAAAUUCGUAGAUAU
Molecule: ribosomal RNA, 623 nt
Filed under: uncultured bacterium
Lineage: Bacteria
Description: bacterial SSU rRNA
Rfam family: Bacterial small subunit ribosomal RNA
Source: RNAcentral